RNAcentral lists this ribosomal RNA (495 nucleotides) under uncultured bacterium. RNAcentral describes it as "partial 16S ribosomal RNA". It matches the Rfam family "Bacterial small subunit ribosomal RNA", at positions 28 to 507 of the family's 1533-position model. The record is from RNAcentral.
GAUGAACGCUGGCGGCGUGCCUAAUACAUGCAAGUCGAACGCUGAAGGAGGAGCUUGCUCUUCUGGAUGAGUUGCGAACGGGUGAGUAACGCGUAGGUAACCUGCCUGGUAGCGGGGGAUAACUAUUGGAAACGAUAGCUAAUACCGCAUGACAACAGUUAUUGCAUGAUAACUGUUUAAAAGGGGCAACUGCUCCACUACCAGAUGGACCUGCGUUGUAUUAGCUAGUUGGUGAGGUAACGGCUCACCAAGGCGACGAUACAUAGCCGACCUGAGAGGGUGAUCGGCCACACUGGGACUGGGACACGGCCCAGACUCCUACGGGAGGCAGCAGUAGGGAAUCUUCGGCAAUGGACGGAAGUCUGACCGAGCAACGCCGCGUGAGUGAAGAAGGGUUUCGGAUCGUAAAGCUCUGUUGUAAGAAAAGAACGAGUGUGAGAGUGGAAAGUUCACACUGUGACGGUAUCUUACCAGAAAGGGACGGCUAACUACGUG